This 78-nucleotide transfer RNA is filed under the name Acinetobacter radioresistens SK82. RNAcentral describes it as "tRNA-Arg". It matches the Rfam family "tRNA". From Rfam's summary of the family: Transfer RNA (tRNA) molecules are approximately 80 nucleotides in length. Their secondary structure includes four short double-helical elements and three loops (D, anti-codon, and T loops). Further hydrogen bonds mediate the characteristic L-shaped molecular structure. tRNAs have two regions of fundamental functional importance: the anti-codon, which is responsible for specific mRNA codon recognition, and the 3' end, to which the tRNAs corresponding amino acid is attached (by aminoacyl-tRNA synthetases). tRNAs cope with the degeneracy of the genetic code in two manners: having more than one tRNA (with a specific anti-codon) for a particular amino acid; and 'wobble' base-pairing, i.e. permitting non-standard base-pairing at the 3rd anti-codon position. The record is from RNAcentral. Lineage: Bacteria; Pseudomonadati; Pseudomonadota; Gammaproteobacteria; Moraxellales; Moraxellaceae.
UGUGCCUUUAGCUUAACUGGAUAGAGCAGUUGCCUCCUAAGCGACCGACGUGGGUUCGAGUCCCGCAGGGCACACAUC